This 406-nucleotide ribosomal RNA is filed under the name uncultured bacterium. RNAcentral's name for it is "partial 16S ribosomal RNA". It matches the Rfam family "Bacterial small subunit ribosomal RNA", at positions 30 to 526 of the family's 1533-position model. The record is from RNAcentral.
AUUGAACGCUGGCGGCAGGCCUAACACAUGCAAGUCGAACGAGUGGCGGACGGGUGAGUAAUGUCUGGGAAACUGCCUGAUGGCGGGGGAUAACUACUGGAAACGGUAGCUCAUACCGCAUACCAUCGGAUGUGCCCAGAUGGGAUUAGCUAGUGGUUGGGGUAACGUCUCACAUAGGCGUCGAUCCCUAACUGGUCUGAGAGGAUGACCAGCCACACUGGAACUGAGACACGGUCCAGACUCCUACGGGAGGAAGCAUUGGGGAAUAUUGCACAAUGGGCGCAAGCCUUAUGCAGCCAUGCCGCGUGUAUGAAGAAGGCCUUCGGGUUGUAAAGUACUUUCAGCGGGGAGGCGUUACCCGCAGAAGAAGCACCGGCUAACUCCGUGCCAGCAGCCGCGGUAAUAC